This 623-nucleotide ribosomal RNA is filed under the name uncultured bacterium. RNAcentral describes it as "bacterial SSU rRNA". It matches the Rfam family "Bacterial small subunit ribosomal RNA", at positions 245 to 876 of the family's 1533-position model. The record is from RNAcentral.
CUUGUUGGUGGGGUAAUGGCCUACCAAGGCGACGACGGGUAGCCGGCCUGAGAGGGUAACCGGCCACACUGGGACUGAGACACGGCCCAGACUCCUACGGGAGGCAGCAGUGGGGAAUAUUGCACAAUGGGCGCAAGCCUGAUGCAGCGACGCCGCGUGAGGGAUGACGGCCUUCGGGUUGUAAACCUCUUUCAGUAGGGAAGAAGCCGUGAGGUGACGGUACCUGCAGAAGAAGCGCCGGCUAACUACGUGCCAGCAGCCGCGGUAAUACGUAGGGCGCAAGCGUUAUCCGGAAUUAUUGGGCGUAAAGAGCUCGUAGGCGGUUUGUCGCGUCUGCUGUGAAAGACCGGGGCUCAACUCCGGUUCUGCAGUGGGUACGGGCAGACUAGAGUGCAGUAGGGGAGACUGGAAUUCCUGGUGUAGCGGUGAAAUGCGCAGAUAUCAGGAGGAACACCGAUGGCGAAGGCAGGUCUCUGGGCUGUAACUGACGCUGAGGAGCGAAAGCAUGGGGAGCGAACAGGAUUAGAUACCCUGGUAGUCCAUGCCGUAAACGUUGGGCACUAGGUGUGGGGGACAUUCCACGUUUUCCGCGCCGUAGCUAACGCAUUAAGUGCCCCGCCUGG